RNAcentral lists this unclassified non-coding RNA (897 nucleotides) under Hevea brasiliensis (rubber tree). The record is from RNAcentral. Lineage: Eukaryota; Viridiplantae; Streptophyta; Magnoliopsida; Malpighiales; Euphorbiaceae.
GAGGAGGAGGAAGGAGGGAGAUGAAGAUAGUGGUGGUGUAUUUCUUAGAAAGAAAUGCAGGUGAUGAGGCAGAUGAAGAUGGUGGUGGUGUGUUCCUGUGGAGGAUUGGAGGGAUAAGAGGAAUCGUUAUUGCAACAAAGAAAUAUGUGUGAACUUUGUGGAAAUUCAAGCCAAAUUAAAACCCAUGGUUCAAAAAUUUUAAAAUUUUAACCUAUGAAGAGAAAGAUCUUUCCUUUCUUUUCCCUUGGUUCAAAGGGGAAUAAGGAGUUGAAGAAGACAAAACUUUACUUGGAAAGUUAGCAAAUUGAGCUAGAAAUGGGGUGAGAUGAAAGGUUUUCAAAGGUUGCAAGAGAGAUGUUAGACGCUGGCUAUCAGUAAUGAGUCAAGGACUUGUUCAAAUGGGUGAAUGGGGCGAUUGGAAUGGAGAUGUAGAUAAAAAAGUAAUAUAAAUAAUAAAUAUAAAAGAAAAAGUGGAAGAAGUGGGACCCAUUAUUAUAAUUAAAAAUAUUUUUAAGUGAAUAUUUAAUACCAAAUCAGUAAUAUUUGAUGAAGUUGGAGGAAAAAAGACUCACUUUGCUAAUGACACCAAACAACAUUGUACCUACUUAUCACAAACCAAACCAUGUGACCCUAAUUGUAAAUCGCUCAAACCACAAGAUACUUUUUUUGUAAUUUUCUCAAAAUUGUAAAUAAUCAGUAUCAAUCUAGAAACUGAUUUUCAAAUUAAUAUUUAAAAAUAUUACUCAAGUAUGUGUGUUCGCCAGUAGAAUUUGUUAAUUGUUGUUAUAUUAUGUUGCGGCCAUUAUUUGAUUCCAUGCAAAUUACCCUAUUAAGAGCAUAAUGGUGCUUGGAACUGUAAUCUUUGGUUUAUGAUAGUGGAUUUCUCAUUUUCUUAUU